Galeopterus variegatus (Sunda flying lemur) is the source of this 1801-nucleotide RNA transcript. It is a transcript of the gene named HLA class I histocompatibility antigen, A-74 alpha chain-like, with no coding region annotated. NCBI's taxonomy places the organism in Eukaryota, Metazoa, Chordata, Mammalia, Dermoptera, Cynocephalidae. The record is from RefSeq and is a predicted model, not a curated record. The transcript is spliced from 8 exons.
GGGACUCAGAUUCUCCCCCGACACCGAGGAUGCGGGUCAUGGCGCCCCGAACCCUCCUCCUGCUGCUCUCGGGGGCCCUGGUCCUGACCGAGACCCGGGCGGGCUCCCACUCCCUGCGGUAUUUCUACACCGGCGUGUCCCCGCCCGGCCGCGGGGGGCCCCGCUUCAUGGCCGUGGGCUACGUGGACGACACGCAGCUCGUGCGGUUCGACAGCGACGCCGCGAGUGCGAGGAUGGAGCCGCGGGCGCCGUGGGUGGAGCAGGAGGGGCCGCAGUACUGGGAGCGGGAGACGCGGAACGUCAAGGACACCGCCGAGGCUCAGCGCGUGAACCUGCGGACCGCGCUCGGCGACGACAACCAGAGCCAGGCCGGUGCGUGACCCGGGCCGGUCACAGGUCACGACCCCCAUCUUCCUCAGACGGGCCGGGGUCGUCCCGACACUCGGGUCCCAGAUUCACCGUGAGGCUGCGGGUUCCGCCGAGACAAUCGACCCGGGAAGAGCCCGGGCGGCUUUUACCUGGUUCCAAGUUCGGUUUAGAAAUCGCGGCGCCGGGUCGGGCGGGGGGGGGCGGGGCUGGCGGCGGGGACGGGGCUGGCGGCGGGGGCGGGGCCAGGGUCUCACCCUCCAGAGGUUGUACGGCUGUGACGUGGGUCCUGACGGGCGCCUCCUCCGCGGGUACAGUCAAUACGCCUACGACGGCGCCGAUUACAUCGUCCUGAACGGGGACCUGCGCUCCUGGCCCGCGGCGGACGCGGCGGCUCAGAUCACACGGCGCAAGUGGGAGGCGGCCGGUGUGGCGGAGCAACGGAGGGCCUACCUGGAGGGCAGGUGCGUGGAGUGGCUCCGCAGACACCUGGAGAACGGGAAGGAGACGCUGCAGCGCGCAGAUCCCCCAAAGACACACGUGAGCCAUCACGCCGUCACUGGCAGUGAGGCCACCCUCAGGUGCUGGGCCCUGGGUUUCUACCCUGCGGAAAUCACACUGACCUGGCACAGAGAUGGGGAGGACCAGACCCAGGACACAGAGUUUGUGGAGACCAGGCCUGCAGUGAAUGGAACCUUCAGAAGUGGGCAGCUGUAGUGGUACCUUCUGGAAAGGAGCAGAGAUACACGUGCCAUGUGCAACACAAGGGGCUACCCAGGCCCCUCACUGUGAGAUGGGAGCCACCUCCUCAGCCCACCAUGCUUAUUGUGGGAAUCGUUGCUGGCCUGAUUCUCCUUGGAGCUGUGAUUGCAGGUGUUGUGAUGCGGAGGAAAAAGAGCUCAGGUGGAAAAGGGAGUUACAAUCAGGCUGCCUGCAAUGACAGUGCCCAGGGCUCUGAUGUGUCUCUCACAGCUUGUAAAGUGUGAGACAGCUGCCUUGUGUGGGACUGAGUGAUUCCACAUGAAUUCAACUCCCCCACAACACCACCACUGUGACUUCAAGAGCUCCUCCCUGGCUUCUCUUAAUGCAACUGGCAUCAGGAUGCGUCUGUGUGUCUGUGCUCCUGUUAGCAUAAUGUGAGGAAAUGGUGAGACUGGCCUAUUCCUGAGCACCAAGACCCCUUCCCCACACUGACCUGUGUUCUCUUCCCUGAUCAACUCUCCUGUUCCAGCAGAGGCAGGGCUGGGAUGUCUCCAUCCCUGUCUUAAAUGUAUGUUGCACUGAGCUACAACUUCUUACUUCCCUAUUGAAAAGAAUUAUCUGGAUAUGAAUUUGUUUGCAAAUUCUUGCCAUAGGGUGUGGUCAAUGGGUUAAUUAAAGGAGAAGAAGAUUCUUAAAAUUUGAGAGUAGAAAUAAAACCUGAAAGCUUCCAGAA